CCUACGGGAGGCAGCAGUGAGGAAUAUUGGUCAAUGGACGCAAGUCUGAACCAGCCAUGCCGCGUGCAGGAAGACGGCUCUAUGAGUUGUAAACUGCUUUUGUACGAGGGUAAACGCAGAUACGCGUAUCUGUCUGAAAGUAUCGUACGAAUAAGGAUCGGCUAAAUCCGUGCCAGCAGCCGCGGUAAUACGGAGGAUUCAAGCUUUAUCGGGAUUUAUUGGGUUUAAAGGGUGCGUAGGCGGUGGGAUAAGUUAGAGGUGAAAUCCCGAGGUAAAACUUCGGAAUUGCCUCUGAUACGGUUCGGCUAGAGGGGAGGUGCGGUGGGCGAAAGGUAGGGGG
This 340-nucleotide ribosomal RNA is filed under the name uncultured bacterium. Its description in RNAcentral is "partial 16S ribosomal RNA". It matches the Rfam family "Bacterial small subunit ribosomal RNA", at positions 338 to 675 of the family's 1533-position model. The record is from RNAcentral.